RNAcentral lists this ribosomal RNA (465 nucleotides) under Vreelandella stevensii. RNAcentral describes it as "partial 16S ribosomal RNA". It matches the Rfam family "Bacterial small subunit ribosomal RNA", at positions 338 to 795 of the family's 1533-position model. The record is from RNAcentral. Lineage: Bacteria; Pseudomonadati; Pseudomonadota; Gammaproteobacteria; Oceanospirillales; Halomonadaceae.
CCUACGGGGUGCAGCAGUGGGGAAUAUUGGACAAUGGGCGAAAGCCUGAUCCAGCCAUGCCGCGUGUGUGAAGAAGGCCUUCGGGUUGUAAAGCACUUUCAGUGGGGAAGAAAGCCUUGGGGCUAAUACCCUCGAGGAAGGACAUCACCCACAGAAGAAGCACCGGCUAACUCCGUGCCAGCAGCCGCGGUAAUACGGAGGGUGCGAGCGGUUAAUCGGAAUUACUGGGCGUAAAGCGCGCGUAGGCGGUCUGAUAAGCCGGUUGUGAAAGCCCCGGGCUCAACCUGGGAACGGCAUCCGGAACUGUCAGGCUAGAGUGCAGGAGAGGAAGGUAGAAUUCCCGGUGUAGAGGUGAAAUGCGUAGAGAUCGGGAGGAAUACCAGUGGCGAAGGCGGCCUUCUGGACUGACACUGACGCUGAGGUGCGAAAGCGUGGGUAGCAAACAGGAUUAGAUACCCGGUAGUC